RNAcentral lists this ribosomal RNA (511 nucleotides) under uncultured bacterium. RNAcentral describes it as "bacterial SSU rRNA". It matches the Rfam family "Bacterial small subunit ribosomal RNA", at positions 14 to 518 of the family's 1533-position model. The record is from RNAcentral.
CGAUCUGGCUCAGGAUGAACGCUAGCUACAGGCUUAACACAUGCAAGUCGAGGGGCAGCAUUGGAGUAGCAAUACUCAGAUGGCGACCGGCGCACGGGUGAGUAACACGUAUCCAACCUGCCGCUUACUCGGGGAUAGCCUUUCGAAAGAAAGAUUAAUACCCGAUGGUAUAAAGAGUUCGCAUGUUCUCUUUAUUAAAGAAUUUCGGUAAGCGAUGGGGAUGCGUUCCAUUAGAUAGUUGGCGGGGUAACGGCCCACCAAGUCUACGAUGGAUAGGGGUUCUGAGAGGAAGGUCCCCCACAUUGGAACUGAGACACGGUCCAAACUCCUACGGGAGGCAGCAGUGAGGAAUAUUGGUCAAUGGACGAGAGUCUGAACCAGCCAAAGUAGCGUGAAGGAUGACUGCCCUAUGGGUUGUAAACUUCUUUUAUAAGGGAAUAAAGUGAGGGACGUGUCCCUUUUUGUAUGUACCUUAUGAAUAAGGAUCGGCUAACUCCGUGCCAGCCGCGGC